CGGGUUGCUGCUCCAGUGAGGAAUAUUGCACAAUGGGGGGAACCCUGAUGCAGCAACGCCGCGUGGAGGAUGACGCAUUUCGGUGUGUAAACUCCUUUUAUAUGUCAAGAAAAUGACGGUAGCAUAUGAAUAAGCACCGGCUAACUCCGUGCCAGCAGCCGCGGUAAUACGGAGGGUGCAAGCGUUACUCGGAAUCACUGGGCGUAAAGGACGCGUAGGCGGGUUGGAAAGUCAGGUGUGAAAUCCUACAGCUUAACUGUAGAACUGCACUUGAAACUUCUAAUCUAGAGUAUGGGAGGGGGAGAUGGAAUUAGUGGUGUAGGGGUAAAAUCCGUAGAUAUCACUAGGAAUACCUAAAGCGAAGGCGAUCUCCUGGAACAUAACUGACGCUAAGGCGUGAAAGCGUGGGGAGCAAACAGGAUUAGAUACCCGCGUAGUC
Molecule: ribosomal RNA, 439 nt
Filed under: uncultured bacterium
Lineage: Bacteria
Description: partial 16S ribosomal RNA
Rfam family: Bacterial small subunit ribosomal RNA
Source: RNAcentral